Molecule: ribosomal RNA, 497 nt
Filed under: uncultured bacterium
Lineage: Bacteria
Description: partial 16S ribosomal RNA
Rfam family: Bacterial small subunit ribosomal RNA
Source: RNAcentral
GAUGAACGCUGGCGGCGUGCCUAAUACAUGCGAGUCGAGCGAACAGACGAGGAGCUUGCUCCUCUGACGUUAGCGGCGGACGGGUGAGUAACACGUGGAUAACCUACCUACAAGACUGGGAUAACUUCGGGAAACCGGAGCUAAUACCGGAUAAUAUAUUGAACCGCAUGGUUCAAUAGUGAAAGACGGUUUUGCUGUCACUUAUAGAUGGAUCCGCGCCGCAUUAGCUAGUUGGUAAGGUAACGGCUUACCAAGGCGACGAUGCGUAGCCGACCUGAGAGGGUGAUCGGCCACACUGGAACUGAGACACGGUCCAGACUCCUACGGGAGGCAGCAGUAGGGAAUCUUCCGCAAUGGGCGAAAGCCUGACGGAGCAACGCCGCGUGAGUGAUGAAGGUCUUCGGAUCGUAAAACUCUGUUAUUAGGGAAGAACAAAUGUGUAAGUAACUAUGCACGUCUUGACGGUACCUAAUCAGAAAGCCACGGCUAACUACGUG